RNAcentral lists this ribosomal RNA (1093 nucleotides) under Enterobacter cloacae. RNAcentral's name for it is "bacterial SSU rRNA". It matches the Rfam family "Bacterial small subunit ribosomal RNA", at positions 74 to 1166 of the family's 1533-position model. Lineage: Bacteria; Pseudomonadati; Pseudomonadota; Gammaproteobacteria; Enterobacterales; Enterobacteriaceae. The record is from RNAcentral.
GCUUGCUCUCGGGUGACGAGUGGCGGACGGGUGAGUAAUGUCUGGGAAACUGCCUGAUGGAGGGGGAUAACUACUGGAAACGGUAGCUAAUACCGCAUAACGUCGCAAGACCAAAGAGGGGGACCUUCGGGCCUCUUGCCAUCAGAUGUGCCCAGAUGGGAUUAGCUAGUAGGUGGGGUAACGGCUCACCUAGGCGACGAUCCCUAGCUGGUCUGAGAGGAUGACCAGCCACACUGGAACUGAGACACGGUCCAGACUCCUACGGGAGGCAGCAGUGGGGAAUAUUGCACAAUGGGCGCAAGCCUGAUGCAGCCAUGCCGCGUGUAUGAAGAAGGCCUUCGGGUUGUAAAGUACUUUCAGCGGGGAGGAAGGUGUUGUGGUUAAUAACCACAGCAAUUGACGUUACCCGCAGAAGAAGCACCGGCUAACUCCGUGCCAGCAGCCGCGGUAAUACGGAGGGUGCAAGCGUUAAUCGGAAUUACUGGGCGUAAAGCGCACGCAGGCGGUCUGUCAAGUCGGAUGUGAAAUCCCCGGGCUCAACCUGGGAACUGCAUUCGAAACUGGCAGGCUGGAGUCUUGUAGAGGGGGGUAGAAUUCCAGGUGUAGCGGUGAAAUGCGUAGAGAUCUGGAGGAAUACCGGUGGCGAAGGCGGCCCCCUGGACAAAGACUGACGCUCAGGUGCGAAAGCGUGGGGAGCAAACAGGAUUAGAUACCCUGGUAGUCCACGCCGUAAACGAUGUCGAUUUGGAGGUUGUGCCCUUGAGGCGUGGCUUCCGGAGCUAACGCGUUAAAUCGACCGCCUGGGGAGUACGGCCGCAAGGUUAAAACUCAAAUGAAUUGACGGGGGCCCGCACAAGCGGUGGAGCAUGUGGUUUAAUUCGAUGCAACGCGAAGAACCUUACCUGGUCUUGACAUCCACAGAACUUUCCAGAGAUGGAUUGGUGCCUUCGGGAACUGUGAGACAGGUGCUGCAUGGCUGUCGUCAGCUCGUGUUGUGAAAUGUUGGGUUAAGUCCCGCAACGAGCGCAACCCUUAUCCUUUGUUGCCAGCGGUUAGGCCGGGAACUCAAAGGAGACUGCCAGUGAUAAACUGG